Molecule: ribosomal RNA, 741 nt
Filed under: uncultured Candidatus Poseidoniales archaeon
Lineage: Archaea; Methanobacteriati; Thermoplasmatota; Candidatus Poseidoniia; Candidatus Poseidoniales
Description: bacterial SSU rRNA
Rfam family: Archaeal small subunit ribosomal RNA
Source: RNAcentral
GGAUAACCUGCCCUAUCGUCUGGAAUAACCUCGGGAAACUGAGAAUAAGGCCGGAUAGUUCACAAAGCCUGGAACGGUUUGUGAAUCAAGGUAGGAUGGGUCUGCGGCGUAUCAGGUAGUAGGGGGUGUAAAGGACCCCCUAGCCUUCGACGCGUACGGGUGUUGGGAGACAUAGCCCGGAGAUGGAUUCUGAGACACGAAUCCAGACCCUACGGGGUGCAGCAGGCGCGAAAACUUCACACUGCAGGAAACUGUGAUGAGGGAACUCCAAGUGUGUGCACUAUGUGUACACUUUUAUGAACUUUUAAUCGGUUCAGGAAUAAGGGCUGGGAAAGACCGGUGCCAGCCGCCGCGGUAAUACCGGCAGCUCAAGUGGUCGUCGCUUUUAUUGGGCCUAAAACGUCCGUAGCCUGUUUGGUAAAUCGGUGGGUAAAUCAACUCGCUCAACGAGUUGAAUUCUGCAGAGACUGCCAGACUAGGGACCGGGAGAGGUGUGGGGUACUCGAGGGGUAGGGGUAAAAUCCUGUCAUCCUUCGAGGACCACCAGUUGCGAAGGCGCCACACUGGAACGGAUCCGACGGUCAGGGACGAAGCCUAGGGGCACGAACCGGAUUAGAUACCCGGGUAGUCCUAGGUGUAAACGCUGUGAACUUGGUGUCGGGGGUCCGCAAGGGGUCCCCGGUGCCGGAGUGAAGAUGUUAAGUUCACUGCCUGGGGAGUACGGUCGCAAGGCUGAAACUU